RNAcentral lists this ribosomal RNA (465 nucleotides) under Vreelandella stevensii. RNAcentral describes it as "partial 16S ribosomal RNA". It matches the Rfam family "Bacterial small subunit ribosomal RNA", at positions 338 to 795 of the family's 1533-position model. Lineage: Bacteria; Pseudomonadati; Pseudomonadota; Gammaproteobacteria; Oceanospirillales; Halomonadaceae. The record is from RNAcentral.
CCUACGGGAGGCUGCAGUGGGGAAUAUUGGACAAUGGGCGAAAGCCUGAUCCAGCCAUGCCGCGUGUGUGAGGAAGGCCUUCGGGUUGUAAAGCACUUUCAGUGGGGAAGAAAGCCUUGGGGCUAAUACCCUCGAGGAAGGACAUCACCCACAGAAGAAGCACCGGCUAACUCCGUGCCAGCAGCCGCGGUAAUACGGAGGGUGCGAGCGUUAAUCGGAAUUACUGGGCGUAAAGCGCGCGUAGGCGGUCUGAUAAGCCGGUUGUGAAAGCCCCGGGCUCAACCUGGGAACGGCAUCCGGAACUGUCAGGCUAGAGUGCAGGAGAGGAAGGUAGAAUUCCCGGUGUAGCGGUGAAAUGCGUAGAGAUCGGGAGGAAUACCAGUGGCGAAGGCGGCCUUCUGGACUGACACUGACGCUGAGGUGCGAAAGCGUGGGUAGCAAACAGGAUUAGAUACCCUGGUAGUC